GCCAGGCAUGAUGGCAUAUGCCUGUAAUCCCAGUGGCUCGGGAGGCUGAGGCAGGAGGAUCCCGAGUUCCCAGCCUCAGCAAUGGUGAGGCACUAAGCAAGACCCUGUCUCAA
RNAcentral lists this small RNA (113 nucleotides) under Marmota monax (woodchuck). The record is from RNAcentral. Lineage: Eukaryota; Metazoa; Chordata; Mammalia; Rodentia; Sciuridae.